Molecule: ribosomal RNA, 505 nt
Filed under: uncultured bacterium
Lineage: Bacteria
Description: bacterial SSU rRNA
Rfam family: Bacterial small subunit ribosomal RNA
Source: RNAcentral
CUACGUGCCAGCAGCCGCGGUAAUACGGAAGGUCCAGGCGUUAUCCGGAUUUAUUGGGUUUAAAGGGAGUGUAGGCGGUUUGUUAAGCGUGUUGUGAAAUUUAGGUGCUCAACAUUUAACUUGCAGCGCGAACUGUCAGACUUGAGUACACGCAACGUAUGCGGAAUUCAUGGUGUAGCGGUGAAAUGCUUAGAUAUCAUGAAGAACUCCGAUUGCGAAGGCAGCAUACGGGAGUGUAACUGACGCUUAAGCUCGAAGGUGCGGGUAUCGAACAGGAUUAGAUACCCUGGUAGUCCGCACAGUAAACGAUGGAUGCCCGCUGUURGCGCCUGGCGUYAGCGGCUAAGCGAAAGCAUUAAGCAUCCCACCUGGGGAGUACGCCGGCAACGGUGAAACUCAAAGGAAUUGACGGGGGCCCGCACAAGCGGAGGAACAUGUGGUUUAAUUCGAUGAUACGCGAGGAACCUUACCCGGGCUUGAAUUGCAGAGGAAUUAUUUAGAGAUA